GCAAGUCGAGCGGACCCUUUGUGGUUAGCGGCGGACGGUUGAGUAACGCAUGGGAAUAUGCCCUUCUCUACGGAAUAGUCCUGGGAAACUGGGGGUAAUACCGUAUACGCCCUUUGGGGGAAAGAUUUAUCGGGGAAGGAUUAGCCCGCGUUGGAUUAGGUAGUUGGUGGGGUAAUGGCCUACCAAGCCGACGAUCCAUAGCUGGUUUGAGAGGAUGAGC
Molecule: ribosomal RNA, 220 nt
Filed under: uncultured bacterium
Lineage: Bacteria
Description: partial 16S ribosomal RNA
Rfam family: Bacterial small subunit ribosomal RNA
Source: RNAcentral